UUUCUUUUGUACUGCUGUGUGAGCACUUCCUAGGCUGAUUUCCGUUUCCUGUGACAAUUUGCGUAAGAACUUUGACGGGCUUGCCAACACUUUAUCAAAAAUAUUGGUGUGUGUUUCGUCUGAAAGAACAGUAGGCCUACCGCUUCUUGCUGCGGCGAGACCUUUUGAGC
Long non-coding RNA from Octopus sinensis (East Asian common octopus), 170 nucleotides. RefSeq lists it as uncharacterized. NCBI's taxonomy places the organism in Eukaryota, Metazoa, Mollusca, Cephalopoda, Octopoda, Octopodidae. The transcript is spliced from 3 exons. The record is from RefSeq and is a predicted model, not a curated record.